CCUACGGGUGGCAGCAGUGAGGAAUAUUGGUCAAUGGCCGUAAGGCUGAACCAGCCAAGUCGCGUGAAGGAAGAAGGCUCUAUGGGUUGUAAACUUCUUUUAUCGGGGAAUAAAGGUAUCCACGUGUGGCUAUUUGCAUGUACCCUAUGAAUAAGCAUCGGCUAACUCCGUGCCAGCAGCCGCGGUAAUACGGAGGAUGCGAGCGUUAUCCGGAUUUAUUGGGGUUAAAGGGUGCGUAGGUUGUUUCUUAAGUCAGCGGUGAAAGUUUGUGGCUCAACCAUAGAAUUGCCGUUGAAACUGGCGGACUUGAGUGGGAUUGAGGUAGGCGGAAUGCGUGGUGUAGCGGUGAAAUGCAUAGAUAUCACGCAGAACUCCGAUUGCGAAGGCAGCUUAC
This 394-nucleotide ribosomal RNA is filed under the name uncultured bacterium. Its description in RNAcentral is "partial 16S ribosomal RNA". It matches the Rfam family "Bacterial small subunit ribosomal RNA", at positions 338 to 729 of the family's 1533-position model. The record is from RNAcentral.